Non-coding RNA from Lepisosteus oculatus (spotted gar), 259 nucleotides. NCBI's taxonomy places the organism in Eukaryota, Metazoa, Chordata, Actinopteri, Semionotiformes, Lepisosteidae. The record is from RefSeq and is a predicted model, not a curated record.
UGAACUCGAAAUGAUUUCGGAAUCAGAUGUGUCUUUUCUGUCCAGCUGAACACAAUGGGAAAACUUGUUUGGAAGCUGCAAACAUAUUAAGAGAAGCAUUUGCAGCAGAAACAUGUCAACCUGUAUUUUUUUAUUAAUGUCCUUGAAGACGUCGCCGCAACGUGAUUCCUGCAGAAACCUCAUGGACAGGUUUUACUCACGGGAUCCUGGGACACGAGCACCGACUGGCAGAUGAGCGGGGCGCUCAUUUCAAAAUGUU